Molecule: transfer RNA, 64 nt
Filed under: Cobbenicoris guangxiensis
Lineage: Eukaryota; Metazoa; Arthropoda; Insecta; Hemiptera; Urostylididae
Description: tRNA-Trp
Source: RNAcentral
AAAUCCUUAAGUUAAUUAAACUAUUAACCUUCAAAGUUAAAAAUGUGAACAAUCACAGGUUUUA